UGAUCAGUUAAAUGACACGUGUCAGAGCAAGUAAAAUUACAUUGACAACUUACAAAGUGAAAUGUAAACAUUGAAACGUUACGAGUAAAAUAGACAUUGCAGCUGCCAAACUAUCAGCUCAGUAGCUCUGAAAAAAGUGUUUUUGACAAAAGAAAGUUGAGAAGGAGAUUUUGGCUAUCAGUGGGUUCUUUCUCUUUUUGGGGUUGGAAUUUAAAUUUCAAACACAAGAUUUGAAUGAGCAUUCCAAAUCAGAAUUGAGUGAAUAAAUUUAAACUUAGGGUUUUAUAAUUUAAAUCUUCCAAGUUCCAUGCUUGAUUUUCCGUCUCUCUCUCUCUCUCCGCUUCUUUCUUUCUACUUCGGCUCUCUCUCUCUCUAAAAGAAAAAAAAACAAGAUCACCGGUGAUGGAAACAGUAACUGGCAUAGAAGAUAUAGAAUGGGCGUGCUCAGUGUUGUGGGUUAGGAGAGCGUAAAAAGAAGACGAUGACAGAGUCUCCGAAUCUGUUUCCGACGAGUAGUAAAGAUGACGAACAAUAAAUUAGAGGUGGCGGUGGCUGUUGAUGCAGCUGGAAGGAGAAAGAAUAGUCACACGGUGACUGGUGCUACUACCGUAAGAGAAGAAGGAACAGCUGGCAACAAGUUGAUGACUUCAGUCAAAAGAAUGUAGAGCUUCGGUCGUCGGUGGUGCAAGAGGUAAUUUUUCUUCUUUAAAAACAGAUAGUUAUUUUCUUUUUAAAAAAAGUUACAGAAAAUGCCAUUAGAGUUUGAGAUGCAAUCAGAGGAAACGCCGGAGCUCCUGUGCAAUGUUUCGAAAUUCCAUGAGGUAAGUCAGAAAAAGCAAGAAGCCCCCAAUAAGGCCAAUCAAGUGGUACCCUCAUUUGAAUUGGAUAGGUGGAUUGUCAAGGUUUUGGGACUUGGUUCAAAGGUGGACUGUCUUCAGUUUCAUUAUACGGUAUCCCGAUGAUAAGGAUGCUGAGGUUGCUGGCAGCACCGCUGGUCAUGGCGGUUAAGGAUAGUAUGGCCAUGGGAUGAUAAAGUCAGUUCUAUAUGAACAUAAAAAGAGGUUGAUUUUGGCAUCGUUAACAAGAUCAAGGUCCUACAACUUCGUGAAUUAGCCGCACGCUACUCUUUAUUAUUCUCAAAGAACAAUGAAAGGUGGCUUUUUGAUUGGGAAAGCCUCAGGAGUAUCAGAAACUGCACAAGGCACUGAAGAAGUAGCUUCAAAUUUUUGGGAUUCAUUUGGUGUUUAUUUUCAUUUGCUCCCCGUAUUGGCACCGUCUACCUCUGCCGCCUGCCGCCUCAGAUGAUUUCCUCUCUGUCGAAUACAAGAACUACAAUAGCAAUGCCAAAGUACAAGAACUGCCAGCAUAGGAUAGCCUGGUCCGACUCGCAGAAAGUACUACCCUUAACCUUACACAGCUCGCACUUCUUCAUCAUAUCUACCUUCACUGUUUUGAACCGUGUUCAUCAUGCCUCAGUCUCAAAGAAGAUACAUUCAGAGAAGAAGAAAGCUAGGGGCCUUCCACGAAAUGCAGGCCAAGGUUGAACAAGAGAUGGACGGUGUUUAAGGGUGGGAGAAUCCAUGCUUCCAUUCCAAGAACAGUUGCUAAUAGAAAAUGGAGGAGUGUCAUUGAGGCCUUUCAGGUAUACAUUAUGUAAAAUUUUGUGGUGUUGAAAAAUACUACCUAGACCAAGACAUAUCUUAGCAAGAGGUUACUCAUGUUCUCAUACAGAACAUGUGUUAAUCAUGUGGAAGAUCCUUCUUUCCCACUUGAAGCUUUCUAUUUCAAGACCAUUCCUCAAUUGGUCACUGCGCAGAAGAUCGAUGAGAAUGAUAUUGUUGGUUAGAUUCUACCUACAUUUUCUUUUAAAUAAAUGUCAUAUCAUUCUAUUUAACUUGCUGCAUGGUUAAUAACUUGAUUUUUUAUGUUUUCAUUAGAUCUUAUUGUCGAGAUUGUUGGAAAGUCCGAUCCUAGGAACUUAGUCACCAGCAAAGAAAUGGAGACAAAACGUUUUGUUCUAGAACUAGAAGAUUCAGAAUGUGUUCCCUGUUAUUUGUUUAAGUUGACAUGUACAUUAAUUUUUUUUAUUCAAGAGGAUAACCGAUGCUGUUGUUGUUUGGCUAUAACAGGAACAACCGUAUUCACUGCAUUUUAUUCGGUGAAAUGGUUAACCAAAUCUUACCACAUCUUCAACAUGAGAGGGUAGAGCCAUUCAUUGUGGUGUUUCAGUUAUUUAAGACACAUAGGUAGAAUAGUAUGCCUUAAAUAAAGCCUGUGUUUAUACAAUACCUGAAAUUAUUACACACUAAAAUUAAAAUAUCAUUUAUACGUAGUCCAAACAUCUAUUCAGAGCAACUUCAACGUGUCAAAGCUGCACAUUAACCCGAAAUUAAAGGAAGUGGUUUUGUUUAGAGAUAGGUUGUUAAAUGGUGCACCAUCAAACUCUGUGAGGAUUAGUCAAAUGUAUUCACAAGGAAGGCACGGUUUGG
This is a long non-coding RNA of Arachis duranensis, 2489 nucleotides long. RefSeq lists it as uncharacterized. Lineage: Eukaryota; Viridiplantae; Streptophyta; Magnoliopsida; Fabales; Fabaceae. The transcript is spliced from 9 exons. The record is from RefSeq and is a predicted model, not a curated record.